RNAcentral lists this ribosomal RNA (292 nucleotides) under uncultured bacterium. Its description in RNAcentral is "partial 16S ribosomal RNA". It matches the Rfam family "Bacterial small subunit ribosomal RNA", at positions 505 to 796 of the family's 1533-position model. The record is from RNAcentral.
GUGUCAGCAGCCGCGGUAAUACGAAGGGGGCUAGCGUUGUUCGGAAUUACUGGGCGUAAAGCGCGCGCAGGCGGCUAUCCAAGUCAGUGGUGAAAGCCCGGAGCUCAACUCCGGAACUGCCAUUGAAACUGUUUAGCUUGAGGACGAGAGAGGUGAGUGGAAUUCCCAGUGUAGAGGUGAAAUUCGUAGAUAUUGGGAAGAACACCGGUGGCGAAGGCGGCUCACUGGCUCGUAUCUGACGCUCAGGCGCGACAGCGUGGGGAUCAAACAGGAUUAGAUACCCUGGUAGUCC